Molecule: ribosomal RNA, 301 nt
Filed under: uncultured bacterium
Lineage: Bacteria
Description: partial 16S ribosomal RNA
Rfam family: Bacterial small subunit ribosomal RNA
Source: RNAcentral
CAGUCGCCGCGGGAAUACAGAGGAUGCAAGCGUUAUCCGGAAUGAUUGGGCGUAAAGCGUCUGUAGGUGGCUUUUCAAGUCCGCCGUCAAAUCCCAGGGCUCAACCCUGGACAGGCGGUGGAAACUACCAAGCUGGAGUACGGUAGGGGCAGGGGGAACUUCCGGUGGAGCGGUGAAGUGCGUUGAGAUCGGAAAGAACACCAACGGCGAAAGCACUCUGCUGGGCCGUCACUGACACUGAGAGACGAAAGCUAGGGGAGCAAAUGGGAUUAGAUACCCCGGUAGUCCCUGUCUCUUAUAC